ACGGCGAGUGAAGCAGGCAACAGCUCAAAUUUGAAAUCUGGCGCAAGCCCGAGUUGUAAUUUGUAGAGGAUGCUUCUGGGCAGCGGCCGGUCUAAGUUCCUUGGAACAGGACGUCAUAGAGGGUGAGAAUCCCGUAUGUGACCGGCUGGCACCCUCCACGUAGCUCCUUCGACGAGUCGAGUUGUUUGGGAAUGCAGCUCUAAAUGGGAGGUAAAUUUCUUCUAAAGCUAAAUACCGGCCAGAGACCGAUAGCGCACAAGUAGAGUGAUCGAAAGAUGAAAAGCACUUUGGAAAGAGAGUUAAAAAGCACGUGAAAUUGUUGAAAGGGAAGCGCUUGCGACCAGACUUGUCGGCGGUGUUCCGCCGGUCUUCUGACCGGUUUACUCGCCGUCGGCAGGCCAGCAUCAUCUGGGGCCGCCGGAUAAAGGCUUUGGGAAUGUAGCUCCCCUCGGGGAGUGUUAUAGCCCUUUGCACAAUACGGCGCGUCCCGGGUGAGGUCCGCGUCUCGGCAAGGAUGCUGGCGUAAUGGUCGUAAGCGGCCCGUCUUGAAACACGGACCAAGGAGUCGAUUAUCUAUGCGAGUGUUCGGGCGUCAAACCCCUACGCGUAAUGAAAGUGAACGGAGGUGGGAACCCUUACGGGUGCACCAUCGACCGAUCCGGAUGUCUUCGGAUGGAUUUGAGUAAGAGCAUAGCUAAUCGGACCCGAAAGAUGGUGAACUAUGCCUGAAUAGGGUGAAGCCAGAGGAAACUCUGGUGGAGGCUCGCAGCGGUUCUGACGUGCAAAUCGAUCGUCAAAUUUGGGUAUAGGGGCGAAAGACUAAUCGAA
This 828-nucleotide ribosomal RNA is filed under the name Neodevriesia sexualis. RNAcentral's name for it is "partial 28S ribosomal RNA". It matches the Rfam family "Eukaryotic large subunit ribosomal RNA", at positions 86 to 939 of the family's 3401-position model. Lineage: Eukaryota; Fungi; Ascomycota; Dothideomycetes; Mycosphaerellales; Neodevriesiaceae. The record is from RNAcentral.